UGUGCGGCGAGUGAGCGGGAAGAGCUCAAAUUUGAAAUCUGGUGGCCUCAGGUCAUCCGAGUUGUAAUCUAUAGAAGUGUUUUCCGUGCUGGCUCAUGUACAAGUCCCUUGGAACAGGGCGUCAUAGAGGGUGAGAAUCCCGUCCUUGACAUGAACUACCAGUGCUCUGUGAUACAUUUUCAACGAGUCGAGUUGUUUGGGAAUGCAGCUCAAAAUGGGUGGUAAAUUCCAUCUAAAGCUAAAUAUUGGCGAGAGACCGAUAGCGAACAAGUACCGUGAGGGAAAGAUGAAAAGCACUUUGGAAAGAGAGUUAAACAGUAUGUGAAAUUGUUGAAAGGGAAACGAUUGAAGUCAGUCGUGCUCUUUGGAUUCAGCCGGUUCUGCCGGUGUACUUCCUUUGAGUGGGGUCAACAUCAGUUUUGAUCGCUGGAUAAAGGCUGGAGGAACGUAGUACCCUCGGGUAAACUUAUAGCCUCCUGUCACAUACAGUGGUUGGGACUGAGGAACGCAGCACGCCUUUAUGGCCGGGAUUCGUCCACGUACGUGCUUAGGAUGUUGACAUAAUGGCUUUAAACGACCCGUCUUGAACCC
Molecule: ribosomal RNA, 591 nt
Filed under: Filobasidium magnum
Lineage: Eukaryota; Fungi; Basidiomycota; Tremellomycetes; Filobasidiales; Filobasidiaceae
Description: eukaryotic LSU rRNA
Rfam family: Eukaryotic large subunit ribosomal RNA
Source: RNAcentral